Molecule: long non-coding RNA, 360 nt
Filed under: Vitis vinifera (wine grape)
Lineage: Eukaryota; Viridiplantae; Streptophyta; Magnoliopsida; Vitales; Vitaceae
Description: long non-coding RNA (VVIN_LNC008120)
Source: RNAcentral
GUGCUCUUGAUGAGGGUUAUUCUCCCGCCCUUAGAAAUGUAUUGUCUUUUCCAAAGGGCUAAUCUUCUCCUCAUUCUUUCUUCCACCCCAUCCCACAUAGAUAUGGCCUUGUGAUUGGCUCCAAGAGGUAGCCCCAAGUAAACUGAAGGAAGAGCUCCCACUUUGCACCCAAGCUCCACUGCCAUUUCCUCAAUUUCUUCAACUUCCCCAAUAGGGAUUAGCUCACUUUUGGCUAGGUUUAUUCUUAGACCGGACGCCGCCUCAAACCAAGCCAAGAUCCAGCUUAAAGAGGUAAGAUACUCUUUCUUAGCUUCACAAAAGAUAAUUGUGUCAUCCGCAAAGAGAAGAUGAGAGACCUCC